UACGAAGGGGGCUAGCGUUGCUCGGAAUUACUGGGCGUAAAGGGCGCGUAGGCUGUCAUGUCAGUCGGGUGUGAAACCCCCGGGCUCAACCUGGGAACUGCACUCGAGACGGCAUGACUUGAGGACGAGAGAGGGUGGUGGAACUCCCAGUGUAGAGGUGAAAUUCGUAGAUAUUGGGAAGAACACCAGUGGCGAAGGCGGCCACCUGGCUCGUUCCUGACGCUGAGGCGCGAAAGCGUGGGGAGCAAAC
Molecule: ribosomal RNA, 250 nt
Filed under: uncultured bacterium
Lineage: Bacteria
Description: partial 16S ribosomal RNA
Rfam family: Bacterial small subunit ribosomal RNA
Source: RNAcentral